RNAcentral lists this ribosomal RNA (396 nucleotides) under uncultured bacterium. Its description in RNAcentral is "partial 16S ribosomal RNA". It matches the Rfam family "Bacterial small subunit ribosomal RNA", at positions 523 to 918 of the family's 1533-position model. The record is from RNAcentral.
AUACGUAUGGAGCAAGCGUUAUCCGGAUUUACUGGGUGUAAAGGGAGCGUAGACGGCAUAGCAAGUCUGAAGUGAAAUCCCAUGGCUUAACCAUGGAACUGCUUUGGAAACUGCCAGGCUAGAGUGCAGGAGAGGUAAGCGGAAUUCCUAGUGUAGCGGUGAAAUGCGUAGAUAUUAGGAGGAACACCAGUGGCGAAGGCGGCUUACUGGACUGUAACUGACGUUGAGGCUCGAAAGCGUGGGGAGCAAACAGGAUUAGAUACCCUGGUAGUCCACGCUGUAAACGAUGAUUACUAGGUGUUGGGGACCAAAGGUCCUCGGUGCCGCCGCAAACGCAUUAAGUAAUCCACCUGGGGAGUACGUUCGCAAGAAUGAAACUCAAAUGAAUUGGCGGGG